CUAGCGAGCAACGUGUACGCUGGACGAAAUUCAUGAGCGAGCGAGCGACCACCGUACGGCGAGCAAACGAGAAAUAAGGCGAACGGACCAGCGGAGAACGAGAGGCGAGCCCGGCAAGGGGAUUUUUGUGUAGCUACCGAUUUAGCUCUGUGCGUCUUCAACAAUGACUUGAACAGUAUCAUAGAAGUUAUGAAAGUUUUGGACAUCACAAUAGGUCCUCAUUCUUACAAUUUCUGCGUCGAGGAAUUGCGCGUAACGCAUGCCGAGAGCUUGCUAUUAGACGCAGCAAUGGAGACGCACUCGAGCUCAAAAUUCUCCAGAAAAGAAGAACAGAAAGAAAAUCUUGCUACAGAUGGACAGCUCUAUAGUGCUGACAUUGCGGAAUAAUGGUCAAAGUAUGUGGACGCUAGAUGUCAGACCUCGAAGCAUCUCCAAAAAAACAUAUUAGGUUCCGUUAGCGGUAGCGCUGCCACUUUGGAUCGAAAAAUACAAAAAAAAGUUUUUUAAGUACCUUAAGAUAUGUCGUAAAUAG
Odontomachus brunneus is the source of this 532-nucleotide long non-coding RNA. RefSeq lists it as uncharacterized. The transcript is spliced from 3 exons. NCBI's taxonomy places the organism in Eukaryota, Metazoa, Arthropoda, Insecta, Hymenoptera, Formicidae. The record is from RefSeq and is a predicted model, not a curated record.